RNAcentral lists this ribosomal RNA (253 nucleotides) under uncultured bacterium. Its description in RNAcentral is "partial 16S ribosomal RNA". It matches the Rfam family "Bacterial small subunit ribosomal RNA", at positions 524 to 776 of the family's 1533-position model. The record is from RNAcentral.
UACAGAGGGUGCGAACGUUGCUCGGAAUCACUGGGCGUAAAGCGCGUGUAGGCGGACGAUCAAGUCAGGCGUGAAAUCCCCGGGCUCAACCCGGGAACUGCGUCUGAAACUGGUUGUCUUGAGUGUCGGAGAGGGAAGCGGAAUUCCUGGUGUAGAGGUGAAAUUCGUAGAUAUCAGGAGGAACACCGGUGGCGAAGGCGGCUUCCUGGACGACUACUGACGCUGAGACGCGAAAGCGUGGGGAGCAAACAGG